Molecule: ribosomal RNA, 397 nt
Filed under: Chlorarachniophyceae sp.
Lineage: Eukaryota; Cercozoa; Chlorarachniophyceae
Description: partial small subunit ribosomal RNA
Rfam family: Eukaryotic small subunit ribosomal RNA
Source: RNAcentral
AUUCCAGCUCCAAUAGCGUAUAUUAAAGUUGUUGCAGUUAAAAAGCUCGUAGUUGGAUUUCAGUCUUAGUUCGUCUGGCCCGCUCCCUUGAGGAGCCGAGUGCCGGUUGCGAGCUGGACUUCCUUCUAGCAUGGAACCUCUACCGUUAUGCGGCCGGGGGGGACAUCUGGAUCAUUUACUUUGAAGAAAUUAGAGUGUUCAAAGCAAGCUUACGCUGUGAAUAUAUUAGCAUGGAAUAAUAGCAUAGGACUCGGGUUCUAUUUUGUUGGUUUCUAGGACUCAAGUAAUGAUUGAUAGGGACAGUUGGGGGUACUGCUAUUAUAUGGCCAGAGGUGAAAUUCACGGAUUCAUAUAAGAGCAACUUAUGCGAAAGCAUUCACCAAGGAUGUCUUCAUCG